AUAAUCUGCUGGAGUAUAUGAAAGGCACAGACCUGAAGAUCCAAAGCUGCAGGAUGGCCAUGGAAGGCUCCUGAUUUUUGAACUAAUUUUAUAUCCAUCCAGUGCCUGAUAAAUACAGAAGUGGAUGCUCACAGCUGUGCAUGGGGUCUCCAAUGGAUGAGCUAGAAGAAAGGACUAAAGGAGCUGAAGGAGCUUGCACCUCCAAGGGAGGAACAACAAUAUGCAUCAACCAGUACACCCCAAAACUUCCAGGGACUAAACCACCAACCAAAGAGUACACAUGGAGGAAUCGAUGGCUCCAGCUGCAUAUGUAGCAGAGGAUGGCCUUGUUGGACAUCAAUGUGAAGAGAGAGACCCUUCACUGCUCGAUGCCCCAGUGUAGGGGAAUAACAGGAAAUGGGAGCUGGAGUGGGUGGGUUCAUGAGCAGGGAUAGGGUGAAUGGGAUAGUGCACCUAUAAGAAACAAGACAGAAGAGAUUGGCUAUGCCAAAGCCUAAAGACAUCGAAAAUUUUUGAGUCAAAUUGCAUCAAGACAACCUGUUUAUUAUACAUAUGGUCAAUAGUUGAACAGUAAAAAGAACAGUUUAAAGGGAUGUUGGAUCAAGCAAGGACGUUGGCAUUUAAAGUGCCAUGUUCAUAAAGAGAAUGCAAAAAAGGUGA
Long non-coding RNA from Mus musculus (house mouse), 660 nucleotides. RefSeq annotates it as RIKEN cDNA 4930549P19 gene. The record is from RefSeq and is a predicted model, not a curated record. NCBI's taxonomy places the organism in Eukaryota, Metazoa, Chordata, Mammalia, Rodentia, Muridae. The transcript has 2 exons.